This 180-nucleotide non-coding RNA is filed under the name Chryseobacterium taiwanense. The record is from RNAcentral. Lineage: Bacteria; Pseudomonadati; Bacteroidota; Flavobacteriia; Flavobacteriales; Weeksellaceae.
UUAUUCAUCAUAGAAAUUGGUUCUGCUUAGCUGCUGAUUAAAAGGGAAUCGUGUGAAAAUCACGAACUGUCGCGCAACUGUAAGUAACUGAAGUCUUUAUAAAAAAUCCACUGUGCUAAAGCAUGGGAAGGAAAUAGAGAUGUUACAAGUCAGGAGACCUGCCUUUUCUUUAAACAAAAA